Prionailurus viverrinus (fishing cat) is the source of this 1037-nucleotide long non-coding RNA. RefSeq lists it as uncharacterized. The transcript has 3 exons. Lineage: Eukaryota; Metazoa; Chordata; Mammalia; Carnivora; Felidae. The record is from RefSeq and is a predicted model, not a curated record.
CACACAGUUACAGGCAAAGCUGCUGAGUUUUUAAACCCAAAUCUUGUCUCCGCCUCGGCCUUUAGCGAACAAGCCGGCUUAACUUCUGAAAGGCACGCAGGUGCCCACGCAUGGGCACGGGGACACGUGGGGCCUGGGUGAGGACCACGGGCUCAGCCCAGCGCCCGGCGAUGCUCCUGGGCCUGUCCGUGGCGGGGGAUGGGGGUUCCCCGGGGGGUUUCCAGUCUCUGAAGAGCCACUGGGUAAUUAUCCCCGUGAGCAAAUCCGUCAAACAACCUCUGCGUUCUAGUUUCUUCACCUGGGAAAUGCCGAGACGGUAACAUCUUCCCCACUGGGUUUUACAAGACGUCCUCGGCCAACAGUUACCAACUAGCUUCAGUUGCUUCGAGCGAAGUUGGUCUUUACGCAAAUAACUGAGCAAGAUGCAAAUCACUGGGAUUUCGGAGCAAAGGCCUCAGACUGACAACCUGCAGGUGCGAGAAACGUUAUGCCAAUGGAAUCCUGCAGAGUGGAAGCUUCUGAGGUGGGCUUUGUUUUUCACGCCGCAGAAUUCCGUUGCCCUCCAUCCGGGUCAUUGUUCCUGCUGAGUGGUAUUCCAGCCGCUCUUGCUUUAACUACGGCGCGGGUUGGUCUUGUGUGAGAAAUUUCAUUGGAACAAAGAUUUCCUCUGCUUCAAGAGAACGAUUUGGCAACUGCUCACAAAGAUAAGGAUUAGACUGGAAGGUUCGAAGAUCCCAGUGGUGCCGUAGAUACAUGGAAACUGGACGUCGAAAUUUCUGAUUCAUGUGGCUGCUCUCAUUUAGCAGUGACGCAACUCUCCAGAUUCCCAGGAUCAUAAUUUUACCCAAUCUCUGGAGAGAAAUGAGAGAGAGAGAGAGAGUGAAUUUAUUCCCCAGGAAGAACUCAGGAGGGACUGUACCAGUCUGCAGCCCCACCAACUGUACCCGAGGAGUCCUUUCUCUUCACAUCCUCGCCAACGCUCGUGGCGAAACCAGGAAGCUUUAACCACCACACACUCCAGAGCCAGGGGGCUCCGC